ACGGAGGAUGCAAGCGUUAUCCGGAAUUAUUGGGCGUAAAGCGUCCGCAGGUGGCUGGUCAAGUCUGCUGUUAAAGCGUAGAGCUUAACUCUAUAUCGGCAGUGGAAACUGGACAGCUAGAGUACGGUAGGGGUAGCGGGAAUUCCCAGUGUAGCGGUGAAAUGCGUAGAUAUUGGGAAGAACACCAGCGGCGAAAGCGCGCUACUGGGCCUGUACUGACACUGAGGGACGAAAGCUAGGGGAGCGAAAGGGA
RNAcentral lists this ribosomal RNA (253 nucleotides) under uncultured prokaryote. RNAcentral describes it as "partial 16S ribosomal RNA". It matches the Rfam family "Bacterial small subunit ribosomal RNA", at positions 525 to 777 of the family's 1533-position model. The record is from RNAcentral.